Molecule: long non-coding RNA, 520 nt
Filed under: Mytilus galloprovincialis (Mediterranean mussel)
Lineage: Eukaryota; Metazoa; Mollusca; Bivalvia; Mytilida; Mytilidae
Source: RNAcentral
GUCUGUGUUAAGCAUUCAAAAUUAGAGAAUGUAAUAUUGAAGUAACAUUUUUAUUCUCAAGUCUCAAUUCAAAAUUGUGAAUGCAUAGAUUUUACGGUUAAAGAAAAGAGGUCAGGAAAGUUAUGUGACACUUGUAUAUAUUUAUAAACGCGCGUCUGGCGUACUAAAUUAUAUUCCUGGUACCUUUGAUAACUGUUUGUAACUGCAAUUUGAUAUUGGAAUGGGGGUGAAAUGAGGUAAGACUAUAACAAAUCGACAGCAUUUUAAAGAUUUUUUUUUUUAAAUUAAACCAAAGUCUACUGCAAGGGAUGUUUAACGACCUCAGUGAUCACCCAUGGUGAUCUCGCACGCGGUCAGCUCUACAGUUUCACCUAGUUCAAGAUUAUACAAGAAUUUAAAAGCUUGUGGUUUACUGGUUGUCAAUCACAACAUGGUAUUUGUUUUUCGUAAAUAAUUUUGUUAUAAAUAUUGCCGUUAAUUUUCUCGUAUCGUAUAUUCCAUAUUAUCAUCGAAAUAAUUC